UCAGCUGCUGAGAAUGUCUAG
RNAcentral lists this non-coding RNA (21 nucleotides) under Rattus norvegicus (Norway rat). Lineage: Eukaryota; Metazoa; Chordata; Mammalia; Rodentia; Muridae. The record is from RNAcentral.